Scylla paramamosain (green mud crab) is the source of this 441-nucleotide long non-coding RNA. RefSeq lists it as uncharacterized. NCBI's taxonomy places the organism in Eukaryota, Metazoa, Arthropoda, Malacostraca, Decapoda, Portunidae. The record is from RefSeq and is a predicted model, not a curated record. The transcript has 3 exons.
AAAGUAGAGGUAAAAAAGGAAGUGUUUUUUGAUAACCGCCCUCAGCUUGCAUGUUAGGCUACCAGGAACUUGCUCUCCCUCACACGCGCACUGCCUCCCGUGCACGCCAGCCCUCCUCGCACUGCCCCAGACGGUGGUAAGAGCUGUCAGGGAGAGAAACUAAGUCCUGGUAUUCGUGUGGAAGCUGAGGUGAGGGGCGGCAGGCACCUCAUGUGGCAGGCUGAGGCGGGGUUUCUACACUUCCUGGGCAUCAGCAACCACAAUGAACUCUUCGCUAAGGUCCAGGCACCUCAGUUUUCAGGGAGACAAGCGUGGCAGCGUCAACGAACACCUGGACAGUCUGUUCAGCGCCAUCGAGACGCGCUCCCUGGACCAGCUGCGGGAGUGCCUGCGUCAGGAGCCUCAGGGCAUCAAUGGGCACGGCGGGCCCUUCUACGUGAC